GGGCUCGCUUCGGCAGCAUAUAUAUUAAAAUUGAAAUGAAACAGCAAAGAUGAACACGGCCCCUGUACAAGAUAACAUACAAAUUGGUGAAGUGUUCCAUAUUAGG
This is a small nuclear RNA of Ochotona princeps (American pika), 106 nucleotides long. Lineage: Eukaryota; Metazoa; Chordata; Mammalia; Lagomorpha; Ochotonidae. The record is from Ensembl.